GGAACAAAUUCCAACUUUCUUCUCAUUAUUUGUUUUCGUCCCUCUCUCUAGAUUCCUUUCGUUUUUUUUUCCUAUCUCUAACACCCUAGUGAACAUCGAGUGUGGGAGGGUGAAUCAUUCAUAGAUAGCUCCCUGCGUUGCAGUAGUACGAAGAGCUUCAAGAACAAGGCUGCAGACGGGUGUUCUUGCUUUGCAAUUGAAGACUGAGAGUUUGGAGCUAGCUCGAUGCAGUAAGCCGGAAAAGCUUACGAUAAGGGAGCUAUGGACACAAUGUGGUACAUAUUGUCGUCCUUGUAUAUAUAUAUAUAUAUCAUGGGCUACUUGGGGGAUGUUUAUUUGGGUAGUUUAUGUUUGCUGUUCCCAUGUCAUUUUACCAUAUUUUACUGUACAUAUGUUCGAAUAUUGAACAAAACCUUUAGGUGGUCUGUAAGUGGAAAUAUUGUACAAAACCUUUAGGUGGUCUGUAAGUGGAAAACUGGUUGGUGUCGAUGCUCGAAAGAUCUGACUCUUUCAUUAUCUAAAGGACUGCAUUUGAAACUCAUUUUGUCGUCAAAUCUAAAAAUGAAUUGGCAUGUCUUACUGGUUCA
Molecule: long non-coding RNA, 587 nt
Organism: Papaver somniferum (opium poppy)
Lineage: Eukaryota; Viridiplantae; Streptophyta; Magnoliopsida; Ranunculales; Papaveraceae
Exons: 2
Source: RefSeq, a predicted model, not a curated record